GUGAAACGCGCCAGCGCCGAUGGUAGUGUGGGAGGUCCCAUGCGAGAGUAGGUCAUCCCCAGGC
This 64-nucleotide ribosomal RNA is filed under the name Sulfurivirga caldicuralii. Lineage: Bacteria; Pseudomonadati; Pseudomonadota; Gammaproteobacteria; Thiotrichales; Piscirickettsiaceae. The record is from RNAcentral.